GUAGUAAUGGACAGACAGCUGGAAGC
Molecule: non-coding RNA, 26 nt
Filed under: Cricetulus griseus (Chinese hamster)
Lineage: Eukaryota; Metazoa; Chordata; Mammalia; Rodentia; Cricetidae
Source: RNAcentral